CGCCUGUUUAUCAAAAACAUCUCUUCUCGUUAGUUUUUGAAGUAUGGCCUGCCCACUGACCUUGAAUGUUGAAGGGCCGCGGUAUUUUGACCGUGCAAAGGUAGCAUAGUCAUUAGUUCUUUAAUUGUGAUCUGGUAUGAAUGGCUUGACGAGGCAUAAGCUGUCUUAAUUUUGAAUUGUUUAUUGAAUUUGGUCUUUGAGUUAAAAUUCUUAGAUGUUUUUAUGGGACGAGAAGACCCUAUAGAGUUUGACAUUUAUUAUGGUCUCUUUCUGUUUGUGAGGGUUCACUAGGGCUGUUUAAUAUGUUUUGUUGGGGUGAUGGGAGGGAUAUUAUUUAACCCCUCCUUUGUGUUGUUAUAUUUAUUUAUAUUUGUUUGAUCCAUUUAUUUUGAUUGUAAGAUUAAAUUACCUUAGGGAUAACAGCGUAA
Molecule: ribosomal RNA, 428 nt
Filed under: Reticulitermes flavipes (eastern subterranean termite)
Lineage: Eukaryota; Metazoa; Arthropoda; Insecta; Blattodea; Rhinotermitidae
Description: partial 16S ribosomal RNA
Rfam family: Archaeal large subunit ribosomal RNA (bases 1-214)
Source: RNAcentral